GCGGCAAGAGCUCAGAUUUGAAAUCGUGUUUCGGCACGAGUUGUAGAGUGUAGGCGGGAGUCUCUGUGGAGCGCGGUGUCCAAGUCCCUUGGAACAGGGUGCCUGAGAGGGUGAGAGCCCCGUAGGGUGCUGCGCGAAGCUUUUGAGGCCCUGCUGACGAGUCGAGUUGUUUGGGAAUGCAGCUCCAAGCGGGUGGUAAAUUCCAUCUAAGGCUAAAUAUUGGCGAGAGACCGAUAGCGAACAAGUACUGUGAAGGAAAGAUGAAAAGCACUUUGAAAAGAGAGUGAAACAGCACGUGAAAUUGUUGAAAGGGAAGGGUAUUGGGCUCGACAUGGGGGGUGCGCACCGCUGUCUCUUGUAGGCGGCGCUCUGGGCGCCCUCUGGGCCAGCAUCGGUUCCUGCUGCGGGAGAAGGGGCUCCGGAAAGUGGCUCUUCGGAGUGUUAUAGCCGGGGCCAGAUGCCGCGUGUGGGGACCGAGGACUGCGGCUUCUGUCUCGGAUGCUGGCAUAACGGCGCAAUACCGCCCGUCUUGAAAC
Molecule: ribosomal RNA, 536 nt
Filed under: Pichia manshurica
Lineage: Eukaryota; Fungi; Ascomycota; Pichiomycetes; Pichiales; Pichiaceae
Description: partial large subunit ribosomal RNA
Rfam family: Eukaryotic large subunit ribosomal RNA
Source: RNAcentral